Dermochelys coriacea (leatherback sea turtle) is the source of this 5176-nucleotide long non-coding RNA. RefSeq lists it as uncharacterized. The record is from RefSeq and is a predicted model, not a curated record. The transcript is spliced from 2 exons. Lineage: Eukaryota; Metazoa; Chordata; Testudines; Dermochelyidae.
AGCAUAUAUUCCCCAAGAAUUAAAUUUCAUUUCUAUGGAAUGCUUAGUUUUAGAUGUGCUUUUUCAAAUUUGGAGACAGUAUCCACUAGGGGUUAGAGCAAAGGUCUGGGAGUCUGGACACCUGGGUUGUUUUGAUGACUGACUGUUGUUGGCUUGCUGUGUAGCCUUAGGCAAAUUGCCUAACUUCUGUGCCGGAGGCCUGAUCUCCACACAGUUUUGUGUAACUAUGUCAGGGAUGUGAUAUUUAUUUAUUUAAUUUAUAACCAAUAUAGUUAUACCGAUACAGCCCCUAGUUAUCCUACUAUAACUUAUAUCACUUCCUCUAUGGGAAUAAGCUAUAAAGGUAUAAGCACUUUUUCAUCCCCGUAAUACUGCCUCCAUGCAAGAGUGAUUGUACAGCUUUAAUGAUACCAGUAUAAUUAAAGUGGUGCAACUUUUCUGUAUAGACAAGGCUUGAGUUUCCCUCUCUGUAAAAUGUGAAUAUCCUUUAUAAAGCACUUUGCACCAGAGGAAAUGCACUUCAAAAGUGCAAAGUAAUUAUUUGUAGCAGUAGUAAUGUUGUAUGGUUUCAAGCCUUUUGUAUUUGAUGAGAGGCUAGUAUGAAAAGAACUUGGAAAUCAGCUCUCAGAAAGGAAAAGGACAAGCUAACCUUGGCACCUGGGGCCCUGGCUAUUGUGCUUCAUAAAGGAAGUGAAACAUGUUGAGCUCCCUGACGUGAUAUUCUCACAGAAGAUGGAGGAAGUUGCUACAGUUGAAGCUGUAAUUCUGGAUCUCUUCUUGCUUCGUUUAAGGGGGUGGGGUAGGGAAGGAGGGUUACACAAAGCGCAAAAAAAAAAAAAGAAGCCACACACAAAGUUAGAUAAGUUGCUGACAAAACUGCUAAUGGACGUUGUUUGGGAGGGAGGGGCUGUAGAACAGAGAAUGUUUCCUCUGCUGGCUGUUUACGAAGAGAAAGGUAAUGAGGGAGGCAGCAGGGGAGUGAUGGAGGAGAGAAUAGAAUGGCUGCUUCUCUCUCUCUCUAGUUGCUGACUAAACAGUUCUGUCAGCUGGCAGUCGACACAGCCUGAGGAUUUGAGAUAGCUCCUGGAGGGUGGGGAUGGUUACAGGGGGGAAGGGCUGGUAGUGCUUCAGCAGCAACUGCUGCUUCUGCAGCUCAGUUGCAGUUCAGAGAAGUUUUUUAAACCAUGAAGAAUACUCACGGCACUGAAUUUCCUGGAGUUUGUGUGUGUGUGUCGUUUUCACUUGCUAAGUAUUUAAGCAAUAUCUUUUAAAAGAAGAAACUCGAGGGUUUGUCUACACUGGAGAUUUUUCUAGUUAUGCUGGUUUAAUUAAACAGAGAGAACUUCCCGUCUGGCCACUCUGAUUCCAGAAUAAGAGGAGCUUUUUGGGGGGUUAAUUUAAACCACUUCCAGAGUGACACAAGCUAAACUGCAAAAAGCCAGUCUUGGGCUGUCUACACGACAGAUCUCACAGCGGCACAGCUGUAUCUCUGCAGCUGCGCUGCUGUAAGAUCUCCUGUGUAACUGCUGUAUGGCAACGGGAGAGAGCUCUUCUCUCAGCAUAAUCAAACCACCCUCAACGAACGGCAGUAGCCAUAUUGGGAGGACAGCGUCUCCUACUGAGAUAGUGCUGUCCACACCGGGGCUUUUGUUGGUGAAACUUCUAUCGAUCAGGGGUGUGAAAAAACACCUACACCUUGACUGGCAAGUUUUACCAACAGAAGUGCUAGUGUCGACGUACUCUUAUUUCAGAAUAAGGCUAUCCUGUUAAAUCAGCGAAACAGUUUUAGCUACCCCUUAAAGUUAAAGUAGCCUUCUUGGAUUUGUAGGAAGAAAUAGUUCUCUAUCAAGGCUAUGAUGUAUGCAGUGUUGUUGUAGCUGUGUAAGUCCCAGGACAUUAGUGAGACAAGGUGGGUGAGGGAAUAUCUUUUAUUGGACCAGCUUCUGUUAGUGAAAGAGACAAGCUUGUACAGAGCUCUCCUUCAGUUCUGGGCUGUGUGAAGAGUUCUCUGUAAGCUAGAAAGUUUCUCUCUUCAAUAGAAGUUGCUCCAAUAAAAGAUAUUCCCUCACCCCACCUUGUCUUUCUAAGGCUAUGAUGUGGCAGCACUAGAGUCAUUUUAAUGAUCCCUUCAUUCUGCUAGAACUAACGCUAUUUUUCAUACAGAUGACUGUCGGAAGCAUAUCAUAAGGAUGGAAUAAGAUCCUCGAGUUGUUUCCUCUUUCAGUCAUGUGCUUGCUUUCUUUGUUUUGUAGCUGUAAGUAAAGGAUGGGUGAAUGUGAAUCACUUUAUACCAGUUAACUCCUCUUCCUUAUGACUCUGCAAUGAGCAAGAUAGUGAGUCUCUGUCUUGACAGGUGAAAAAGGGAGUGUUUCAGUUGAGCUCAAUUGUGUUAGCUAAACUCAAUAGAAAAAGCACUCAAUGCUUGUUAAGAUUCAGGCUGAUACAUUGGAAGCCAUUUUAACUGGCCAUGCACAGCUUCAACUGUGUUAGCCUCUACAUCCUAAGAAGUGUUAAGAGAGCUUUUUUGGUCCUGCUAAGCCAACUGGAUGAUUGAAAAGCACACACUCAUUUUGCCAAUCAAGACAGAGGUAGAGAGACACAGGAGCUAAUGUUCCAGUGCUGGCUAGUAAUAAAGCACUGAUGUUAUGGUUGGUAUAAUUUGCUGUUGUGGAUUUUAAAUCUUUUUAAUUCUUAUCUGCCAAAGGAAAUUCCUCAUGCAUCAAGAAAUAAGAAUGUGUUCCCAAAGAGCUGUCAAGUUUGUAGAAACUUUUCUGUUGUGAUGUGGAAACCUGUAUAACGCCACAUAGUUUUAAUUCAUUUCACCUUCACACCAUGCCCAUCCAUCACUUCAGCACAGUUCUCAAAAUUGGCGAAUUUUGUUUGCCUUACUUCAUAACUUAGAGGUGUGUUAGUUGGUACACACAAGUUAAACAGUGGUAUUUUCAUAGUACUUUGCAUUCCUGUGUUGAAAGACCUGAAAGACAUGCUUGCUGGCAGUUGGAUUUUAGUUCCCUGUUGAUCUAGACUAAUUAGGUGUUUGCUGCUUGAUGUGGAGAUGCUAUAAAAUACAUUAGUGAUUGUUGCACUUAAGUGCAUAAUUACUGACUUAAUUAUUCCACAGUGCCCUGUUCUCUUUAAACACUAAAAUAAUUUACCUUGCAUUUAAAUAAAAUAAAAUAAAAUCAGCACUUUUGCUACUUUUUUUUUUUAAGAGGAUUUUAGGAUUCACAUUUGUAUUGAAUCUUCUAAGUUCAACAUAUUUGUUUUUACCUAUCACAAAAGGAGAGAGAAAUCCCCUGGGAAAGAAAAUUAAUCUGUUGUAAAACUGCUCAUAGUUUUAGCCAUUAUUGUUCUGCAAGAUCAAAUUCUUGCUAGUGUACAUUUAUUUACAUGUCUACAAAAUAGCCAUGAUAGUCAAAUGGGUCAUGAUGCUUCAAAAACUGAAUUCAAUUGUACCCCAUUUCUCCUACUACUGUACCCUUGCUCUAGGGCCUGAUUUUCAGAAAUACUGAGCAGCUAGACAUUGCUGCGAGCCCUUUUGAAAAUCAGGCUUGUUGUAUGUUGGAUAGAAAGUUAUGUAGGCCUAGGUAAACAAUUUUUAAAAAUAUUUUGAUAUGUUCAUAAAACUUCAGUGAGUGUUUCUUCAAAGCUGAACACUUGCAUUUUGUUGAAUAAAAUUGUUUAAAUAGUUUACUUGGUGCACAAGAUGUAAAAGGCAAUUAGAAAAUAAUUUAGAUUAUCUAUGAAAAGAGAGUUUGUCACUGAACUGGGAGACUGGUUUGACCUUCUUAGCCUUAUGAGCUUGUCUGUGGUUUCCAGCCAAAGGCUCUCACUUUGAGAGAGCCUCACUUUUAGUGCUGAACUAUUUUUUGACGCACUGAAUGAAUGCAAUAUGUUAACACUCCUGUAAGUCCCAGAAUUGCUUGGCUGCCCCUUGCCCUGCCUGCCUCAUACUGGCUGAAAAGGUACCAUUGUUUGCUCUGCAAACAGUGGGUGAUGUUUGUUUCCAAGGUGACUGUGAUUCUAUUGCAGCCGUUUAGUACAAAAAAAAAAGUUGGUUUUACGCACCUGAGAGCAUCCUGCUCUGACAAAAGGACAAUGGGGGCAGAAAAGAGACAAGGUGGUGAGUUUUCUGGUAGUGCUGUAAAUGGCUGUAAAAAGAUAGAGAUGUGGGCAUUUGAAGAACUAACAUGCAAAAUGUCAGUUAGCUAGAACUAAGAGUGGUGAUGUAUAUUUCUUAGCAUGACCCCAAUAUAUUGUUAAAACCAAAACUGUAGAGUAAGCCUGUCAAAAAUACUUAAAUUAUUAUUUAUUGUAUUUUAAAAGUGCUUGAGUGAAGAUAAGCACUUUAUGAGAAGGCCCUACUUCCCUUCUUAACUAACGUGAUCAGGCAGCUGCUGAAAUGUUAAACCUUGUAGUUUGUUUGAACAGCCAAAAUAAUAUCGUUUUCUCCUAUGAAACAGACAAAAAGUAUGUAUGUAUGUAUGCAUUUAUUUAUUUAUUUAUUUUAAAAAAGAGGUUUGGAAGGUUUUGUUACAGGAGGGAUGUAUAAAAUUUCCAACUGAAAAAGUGGAAAAAGGAAUUCAGUAAUUCUGCUAAGCCUUUCUGGACAUAUAGAUGUUUUUAAAACAUCUACUUUGGGUUAAAUUAUGCAUCCCACAGAAAGUAGGCCACAGUCACCAAUACUUGAUUUCCCUUUUUCUUUUAUGUGUUCUAGAAAACAAACUUAAUUGUUACUUUUUUAUCAAACUUUGAGUAUGAGUCUCACAGUAUCAGUGACUAAUUCAAACAAUUGAAGAGAUGGAUUUAAAGUUCUUGUUCUGUUUUCAUUUAUUUUUUCCCCCGACUAUUGACACUUGUAUUUGGGCAGUGAAAAAGCUUAGUUAAGAAGUAAAAUGUAUGCACUUUUUUUUUUUUUUUUAAUUGGUCAUGGAUGCUGUUAGCAGAACUUUGCCUUUCUUUUCCCCCUAUCAGGUUUAGUACAGUUCAUACGCAGGUUUCAGUAAACAUUAACCACUUUUAUCAGGCCUCGUAGCAUGCUAAAUGGUUAGCAAAGAGCAUGUGCCGAGAGAGACAGAUGAAAUGUACAAGUCCAAGGUCAAAAGGAUGGUAGAUUUUUCUUUAUUUUAACAAGAGGCAGAGAUGACUACAGUUUGUGAAAAGGGUCGAUUUGUGU